Molecule: ribosomal RNA, 270 nt
Filed under: uncultured archaeon
Lineage: Archaea
Description: partial 16S ribosomal RNA
Rfam family: Archaeal small subunit ribosomal RNA
Source: RNAcentral
CAGCAGCCCGAGUGGUGGUCGUUUUUAUUGGGCCUAAAGCGUCCGUAGCCGGUCUAGUAAAUCCUUGGAUAAAUCGUACAGCUUAACUGUACGGCUCCCGGGGAGACUGCUAGACUUGGGACUGGGAGAGGUCGGAGGUACUCCAGGGGUAGGGGUGAAAUCUUGUAAUCCUUGGGGGACCACCAGUGGCGAAGGCGUCCGACCAGAACGGGUCCGACGGUAAGGGACGAAGCCCUGGGUCGCGAACCGGAUUAGAGACCCGUGUAGUCC